RNAcentral lists this ribosomal RNA (484 nucleotides) under uncultured bacterium. RNAcentral's name for it is "bacterial SSU rRNA". It matches the Rfam family "Bacterial small subunit ribosomal RNA", at positions 15 to 518 of the family's 1533-position model. The record is from RNAcentral.
GAUCCUGGCUCAGGAUUAACGCUGGCGGCAUGCCUAAUACAUGCAAGUCGAAUGGAAGAGCUUGCUUUCCAUGGCGAACGGGUGAGUAACACGUAGGUAACCUACCUUAAGGACGAGGAUAACCUUUGGAAACGAAGGAUAAUACUGGAUAGGACAUUACAAAGCACAUGCUUAAAUGUUUAAAGGAGCAAUCCACCAUAAGAGGGGCCUGCGGCGCAUUAGCUAGUUGGUGAGAUAAAGGCCCACCAAGGCGAUGAUGCGUAGCUGGACUGAGAGGUUGAACAGCCACAAUGGGACUGAGAACGGCCCAUACUCCUACGGGAGGCAGCAGUAGGGAAUUUUCGGCAAUGGGCAAAAGCCUGACCGAGCAAUGCCGCGUGAUCGAAGAAGUAUUUCGGUAUGUAAAGAUCUUUUAUCAGGGAAGAAAAAACAAAUUGACUGAACCUGAUGAAUAAGCUCCGGCUAACUACGUGCCAGCAGCGGC